UUUUGAACAGUCAUCAGUGAGUGUAACAGCUGCGCUUUUCUCAUCAUGAAGUCAAAAUGUCUGCUGUGAAAAAGCGUGUGCACGUGUGGAUCGACGGUUUGAGCUGCAGGAAAAAGCGCAGGUGUGACCAAUAAAAGUUAAUGACGGCUCCGCUCUGCUGCCUCUCAGAUCUCAGUGCCGGCGCAUCAGAAGGUACCUUCCAGCAUCCUCAGACACAGACAGAGUGACCCCGAGCGCUGAGUCGUUGACCCUCUUGCAGACUUUCUCCAUGUCCAGGACGGACUGUAUGCAGUCGGGGCCGUUCUCCAUGCAGCAGUGAGAGGCUGGGCAGAAUCUGCAGUUGUCCAGGCGUUUGUAACCCUUGUUGUGGCCGCACUGCUCCAGAGUGACGGUGGUGGCUAACCCAGAGACUCCAACAUGGACCACUAACUGCUCGCAGAACCAAGUGGCAAAGAGAUGGCAGGAGGCUCUGGACAGCCUGGUAUUCAACAGGCACCUCACACACAUGAAGGUCUACGUCUUCACCCAGUCCCAUGCGCUCCAGUUCCUUUGAGCAUGGAGAACACAAACAUAUAUACAGACACCUUAAUUGCAG
Molecule: long non-coding RNA, 595 nt
Organism: Acanthopagrus latus (yellowfin seabream)
Lineage: Eukaryota; Metazoa; Chordata; Actinopteri; Spariformes; Sparidae
Exons: 3
Source: RefSeq, a predicted model, not a curated record